Molecule: ribosomal RNA, 322 nt
Filed under: uncultured bacterium
Lineage: Bacteria
Description: bacterial SSU rRNA
Rfam family: Bacterial small subunit ribosomal RNA
Source: RNAcentral
AACGAACGUUGGCGGCGUGGAUGAGGCAUGUAAGUCGAUCGUGAAAGCACCUUCGGGUGUGAGUAAAGAGGCAAAAGGGUGAGUAACACGUAAUCAACCUGCCCUCGAGAUGGGGACAACCACUGGAAACGGUGGCUAAUACCCAAUAUUGACCCUGGUCGCAUGGCCGGGAGUCGAAACGGAUGGGAUCCUUCGGGACCUUCUGCUCGAGGAGGGGAUUGCGGACUAUCAGCUUGUUGGUGAGGUAAUGGCUCACCAAGGCUAUGACGGUUAGCCGGUCUGAGAGGAUGUCCGGCCACACUGGGACUGAGAUACUGCCCAG